AAAAAAUUAGUUAAAAUUUAUAUAACAUUAGUUUGUCAAACUAA
Molecule: transfer RNA, 44 nt
Filed under: Zonosemata electa
Lineage: Eukaryota; Metazoa; Arthropoda; Insecta; Diptera; Tephritidae
Description: partial tRNA-Asp
Source: RNAcentral